Molecule: ribosomal RNA, 253 nt
Filed under: uncultured bacterium
Lineage: Bacteria
Description: partial 16S ribosomal RNA
Rfam family: Bacterial small subunit ribosomal RNA
Source: RNAcentral
UACGUAGGGGGCAAGCGUUAUCCGGAUUCACUGGGUGUAAAGGGCGUGUAGGCGGGAAAGCAAGUCAGAUGUGAAAACCAUGGGCUCAACCUGUGGCCUGCAUUUGAAACUGUUUUUCUUGAGUACUGGAGAGGCAGACGGAAUUCCUAGUGUAGCGGUGAAAUGCGUAGAUAUUAGGAGGAACACCAGUGGCGAAGGCGGUCUGCUGGACAGCAACUGACGCUGGGGCGCGAAAGCGUGGGGAGCAAACAGG